GACGAACGCUGGCGGCGUGCCUAAUACAUGCAAGUGGGACGCAAGGGAACACACUGUGCUUGCACACCGUGUUUUCUUGAGUCGCGAACGGGUGAGUAACGCGUAGGUAACCUGCCUAUUAGCGGGGGAUAACUAUUGGAAACGAUAGCUAAUACCGCAUAAUAUUAAUUAUUGCAUGAUAAUUGAUUGAAAGAUGCAAGCGCAUCACUAGUAGAUGGACCUGCGUUGUAUUAGCUAGUUGGUAAGGUAAGAGCUUACCAAGGCGACGAUACAUAGCCGACCUGAGAGGGUGAUCGGCCACACUGGGACUGAGACACGGCCCAGACUCCUACGGGAGGCAGCAGUAGGGAAUCUUCGGCAAUGGACGAAAGUCUGACCGAGCAACGCCGCGUGAGUGAAGAAGGUUCUCGGAUCGUAAAGCUCUGUUGUAAGUCAAGAACGUGUGUGAGAGUGGAAAGUUCACACAGUGACGGAGCUACCAGAAAG
RNAcentral lists this ribosomal RNA (486 nucleotides) under Streptococcus mutans. Its description in RNAcentral is "bacterial SSU rRNA". It matches the Rfam family "Bacterial small subunit ribosomal RNA", at positions 28 to 490 of the family's 1533-position model. Lineage: Bacteria; Bacillati; Bacillota; Bacilli; Lactobacillales; Streptococcaceae. The record is from RNAcentral.